UACGAGGGGGGCAAAUGUUGUUCGGAAUCACUGGGCGUAAAGGGAGCGUAGGCGGGUGUUUAAGUUAGGUGUUUAAUCCUGGGGCCCAACCCCAGUCGUGCACCUAAAACUGGACAUCUUGAAUAGUGGAGAGGUCAGUGGAAUUGGGGGUGUAGCGGUGGAAUGCGUAGAGAUCCCCAAGAACACCAGUUGCGAAGGCGGCUGACUGGACACAUAUUGACGCUGAGGCUCGAAAGCGUGGGGAGCGAACAGG
Molecule: ribosomal RNA, 253 nt
Filed under: uncultured bacterium
Lineage: Bacteria
Description: partial 16S ribosomal RNA
Rfam family: Bacterial small subunit ribosomal RNA
Source: RNAcentral